RNAcentral lists this ribosomal RNA (301 nucleotides) under uncultured bacterium. RNAcentral's name for it is "partial 16S ribosomal RNA". It matches the Rfam family "Bacterial small subunit ribosomal RNA", at positions 509 to 809 of the family's 1533-position model. The record is from RNAcentral.
CAGCCGCCGCGGGAAUACGGAGGGAGCUAGCGUUGUUCGGAAUUACUGGGCGUAAAGCGCGCGUAGGCGGUUACUCAAGUCAGAGGUGAAAGCCCGGGGCUCAACCCCGGAACUGCCUUUGAAACUAGGUGACUAGAAUCUUGGAGAGGUCAGUGGAAUUCCGAGUGUAGAGGUGAAAUUCGUAGAUAUUCGGAAGAACACCAGUGGCGAAGGCGGCUUACUGGCUCAUACUGGACGCUGAGGUGCGAAAGCGUGGGGAGCAAACAGGAUUAGAUACCCGUGUAGUCCCUGUCUCUUAUAA